Molecule: unclassified non-coding RNA, 531 nt
Filed under: Hevea brasiliensis (rubber tree)
Lineage: Eukaryota; Viridiplantae; Streptophyta; Magnoliopsida; Malpighiales; Euphorbiaceae
Source: RNAcentral
GGAUAGUUUUUCCACUACAGGCAAGUUUGAUUGUUUUCCUGUUGUGGUUAAUCAAUUCACUUUGUCAUCAAUUCACUUUGUCAACUUUCUUACUUGUUGAAUAAGUAGUCAAGACCUGAUAAGUUAAGUGAAUAAGUAGUAUAUAAUUUACUUCUCAUCUAUCAAAUUGCUCAGAAAUUUGUCCUUGGCUUUUCCUUGUUUAUAGAUUCUAGAUGGUUUUGACUGCUAUGGAUGCUUCUAUUGGGUAAUCUUUUGGAAAACAUAAUUUUAACAAUAUAUGUAUAAUGCAUACAAACAUUUGCAACAAAACACUGCCAAGAAUGCUGCAAACCAAGGUGCCCUGACAAACGAGGGUGACAGUUUGGCAGGACAUGUCACUUAAUUAUGUUUGUGUCCUGUAAUGGUUUCUAGAAAAUUUACUAUUGAGCCACAAGGUCUGUAGUCUAUGCUGCAAAUGUGGAAGCUAUUCUCUCCCAUGACUUCCCUAGGAGGCAGAGGGACCUUUUGUGUGCACCAGUAUACCAAUAUGAG